RNAcentral lists this ribosomal RNA (707 nucleotides) under uncultured bacterium. Its description in RNAcentral is "bacterial SSU rRNA". It matches the Rfam family "Bacterial small subunit ribosomal RNA", at positions 9 to 705 of the family's 1533-position model. The record is from RNAcentral.
GAGUUUGAUCCUGGCUCAAGAUGAACGCUAGCUACAGGCUUAACACAUGCAAGUCGAGGGGCAGCAUGGUCUUAGCUUGCUAAAGCCGAUGGCGACCGGCGCACGGGUGAGUAACACGUAUCCAACCUGCCGUCUACUCUUGGACAGCCUUCUGAAAGGAAGAUUAAUACAAGAUGGCAUCAUGAGUCCGCAUGUUCACAUGAUUAAAGGUAUUCCGGUAGACGAUGGGGAUGCGUUCCAUUAGAUAGUAGGCGGGGUAACGGCCCACCUAGUCUUCGAUGGAUAGGGGUUCUGAGAGGAAGGUCCCCCACAUUGGAACUGAGACACGGUCCAAACUCCUACGGGAGGCAGCAGUGAGGAAUAUUGGUCAAUGGGCGAGAGCCUGAACCAGCCAAGUAGCGUGAAGGAUGACUGCCCUAUGGGUUGUAAACUUCUUUUAUAAAGGAAUAAAGUCGGGUAUGGAUACCCGUUUGCAUGUACUUUAUGAAUAAGGAUCGGCUAACUCCGUGCCAGCAGCCGCGGUAAUACGGAGGAUCCGAGCGUUAUCCGGAUUUAUUGGGUUUAAAGGGAGCGUANAUGGAUGUUUAAGUCAGUUGUGAAAGUUUGCGGCUCAACCGUAAAAUUGCAGUUGAUACUGGAUAUCUUGAGUGCAGUUGAGGCAAGCGGGAUUCGUGGUGUAGCGGUGAAAUGCUUANAUAUCACGAAGA